RNAcentral lists this ribosomal RNA (498 nucleotides) under Triticum aestivum (bread wheat). RNAcentral describes it as "partial small subunit ribosomal RNA". The record is from RNAcentral. Lineage: Eukaryota; Viridiplantae; Streptophyta; Magnoliopsida; Poales; Poaceae.
AUGGCUUCAAACAAACCUUCGGAUGCUACUUCAGCAGGGGCGCAGGAGAUUGACGAUGUGGAAGCAAUGAUGCAGGAAUUGGGUCUUUGGGAGGAGGACCUAGAUGAUGUGGUGUUUGAUGAGGAAUCUGCACCACCUGUGGCUGCCCGCUGGAUAGCCCUGGCUAGGGUUCAUUGCACCAAAACCUACAGCCAAUUCUGGUUCUACAGGAACAUGAGAACAGCGUGGAAUCUGGCACAAGAGGUGAAGUUCAAACCGUUGGAGGACAAUCUGUACACAGUUCAAUUCUCUUGCCUUGGGGAUUGGGAGCGGAUUACUCAGGAAGGUCCAUGGCACUUUAGAGGAGAUAUUGUAAUACUAAAACCGUACGAUGGCAUAGCCAAACCAUCGACAGUACAGCUUGAUUCCAUCGAUAUCUGGGUGCAAGUGCAUGACGUACCACCUCUUUAUGCCCAUCUGGUGCCGUCCCUCGCAUCAAAAGUGUCACACCCUAGCUAG